Molecule: long non-coding RNA, 1534 nt
Organism: Chinchilla lanigera (long-tailed chinchilla)
Lineage: Eukaryota; Metazoa; Chordata; Mammalia; Rodentia; Chinchillidae
Source: Ensembl
GGGAUGUACACUGCAGCUGCCCGCAGAAGUGUGGGUGUCCCCGAGGGAGCCACCCAGCAGACCCUGGCCACGUCAGGUGUGUGCUUCAGGUGGGAGCAAAUGCCACAUAUGGAGUCUGGCCUGUCCUCCUGUAGAUUACAACAGGGGCUGCUUCUCCUGGUCACCACGUGAGCCAGGGUAGGUGCUGACGAGGUCACGCUAUGACUCCACCCGAGGAAGGAGGAGGGUCCCUGAGCCGGGAGCACGGGACCCCAGAGACUUCCUUCUAGCUCGUGUCUCCGAUGGUGCCUGCUCCCAGUCUAGCUCACCAUCUGCCCUCUUGAUCAGCUGGGUAAGAGAACCGCUCCUGGAGUCAGACUGUCCCUCCUCCGCCCCUUGUCGAGCGGGAGGAAACGGGAAAAUUACUUGGCCCUUCGUGCCUCAGUGGGCUGAUCUGCACGCGGGGGUAACAAUGCCUACCUUGUGAAGAACAUGCUUAUAGUACUUAGCAUGGUCCCGGUACAUGGUUAAUGCUUGAUAAAUGCUGGCUGUAGUAAUGAUAACAAUGAUAAAGACAUAAUAAACUGUCGAUUUCUCUCCAUUAUUUUUAGGUGGAAAUUCUGACUCCUCACUUGGUAUUUAGGAGUCUGCAGGGCUUUUGGCCUCCUCACUUCCCACUCUCAAUUCACGGCAGGCCUUGUUCUUUUUUUUUUGGUUUUUUUCUCCGGUACUGGGAACCGAACUCACAACCUUGCGCUUGCCAGGCAGGUGCUUUGCCGCUGAGCUAAAUCCCCAGCCCCCAGGCCUUGUUCUUGUCCUGUUUUCUCUCUGUUUCUCCUUCAGAUGCUUCCUACCUUCCCUCUCCAAGCUAUUCCUCGUCUCCUUGACUCACCCGGACACUUAGCCCAGCUUGGUGCCUCGAACACGACUGGUGAUGAUAAGCAUUUCCAAGAGGCAUCCGUGCCAUGACCGGCACUGGUUAUUAAUCACUUCACUCCUCUGCGUCAUCAGCGCACAUGGCACGGGCCAGGUCCGCGGGGUCCGUUCACACACAGACGACGGACGCGCAGCGGAUGGAGUCUGCAUCGGAUCCCGGCUGGCAGAUCCUGACCUUUCACACUAUUACUCUCCGAGCACAUCAAUUACAAACUACCAAAUGCUGCAACAUUUGCAGUUUUCUAAAACUACAUUUACUGCUAUUUCAGGUAUAGUAUAUACCAUUUAAAGAGGCCAGAACAACCCUGUAAUUCCAUCCAGUCAUUCCUUUGUCAAAUAUCUAUUAAGUGCCUGCUGCGUGCCAUGAACCAGGAAUGUGGUCAGUUAAUGUGAUAGAUGCAGAACGACUGGGAUCAGUGUAAGGACCUCGGGCCCUUUCCAUGGCACGUCCUAGCUCAGCCACUCGUUCAUCCCACUGUCCAUCUUGCUUCUCUCCCCUCCUCCUCCUGCUUGGUUUCCAGCCCUCAUGAAAGCCAUGCUUCACGGCACAGUGGGGAGCAGAGGGGACCACGCAUCCUAGAGGGACAAGUUGCCCUCAGUUCUUCUAGGCCCUGGUUGG